CUGUCCCGGCUGCCUGAGGAUCACAGGGGCACUCCAGAGGGGCCCCUCCUGCACCCCGGGUGAAACCCUGGAACUUGGGGGACUUCAUCACUUAUUUCCACAGAGCCGACAUUCCAUGCUGGCGCCUGGCACGGUGCAGGCUGGGGCACUCGGCCACACUGCUGCCAGCCUGUCCCUGCCAUGCUGCUUGUGAAAGCACCAGUAUUUUUAGCCCCGUGACGCCGUUAUCUGGAGGCAGAAGCGCGGUGCUGAGCAGAUGCUGCAGGAGAGGUUUCCCAAGCAACAGUAUCCAGGGCCUGCAGCACCACGCAGCACCCAGCACACCGUGGAUGCACUCCAAAACGCCGCACAGCCUGUCUUCUCCACCAGCGUGUGCCCGGCUCCCAUCCUCCUCCCAUAGCCUGCUUUCCUCAGGCUGUGUCAUUUGGUGACUGCUCGGUGACAGCAGUGGCUUUGUCAUCGCUGUGCAGAGCUGUGCCUCAGAUAAGUCUUGGAGAUGGGUGUGGGAAUCCUCUCCCUACCUGUGGCUCUGCGCCCCAAGGCCCUCCCGGCCCCACAGGGCACUGCAGGAGGUGCUGCCCCAGGAGAUGAUGGAUGGAGGGCACCCACCACACCCGGUCCUGCAGUGUGGGUGCAGCAGUGGGGCAGGCAGCGCGCCCUGAAUGCAGGCUGAGCUGCUGCCAGCACACCGAGCACAUGGCAGCCAGCUGACCGGCCCUGCCAUUGGGCAAGGUGGGAGAGCAGCAUGGGAAGAGGGGUGCUUUGGGGUUUCCAUCAGAGAGGGCGCAGAGAAUUAUCCUGCAUCAUAGAGGUCUUCUCCAGCUCUCUGUUCCGACCAAACUCAGGUCUCCAUUGCUGGUCCUGUCCCCACAAACCACGUUCUGUCUCAAAGCAUCCGCCUCAGCCCAGCUGUUUCCACCUCAGUAGCCGCUCAAAAAGACUUAAAGGCUUCACAUUGUCUCUGCACAGGGAAGAAGUGACAGAAACCUUGUCAAAAGGGAAUAAAGCCAUCGGGAAACAGCAGCCAUCGCAUGGAAAUUUUGUAACUCCAGAAUGUUUUAAUGGGAGCUCCGGAGCUCCAGCAGCCUCUGCUCAGCCCACCCCUGCCUUCAUUUAGAUGAGCAGCAGAAACGGCUGUGCUGAGAGCCAGGAGCCAAGGGGAGCCAAGGGGAGCCCAGCACAGCCCAGCACAGCCCAGCACAGCCCAGCACACACUGCGCUGAUGACAGAGGAGGACCUCAUUUCCCUUGAACCAAAGUGUGAACAUUUUAUAGCAAAGCAAAAAAGCAAACGAGGGGACGUGCAGAACCACCUGCAUUCCACAGAGCUCCCCAGAAAUGGGCCACAACGCUCAGGGAGGGUUAUGCAAGCAGCCCCACCCCUAAUGCCGAGCAUUGGGCUUCCUCCUAGUUUAAAUCUGAUGAAUUGUGCUAUUUUAAUCCACUUUUAAAGUAUGUCAUCUGUAUGCUAAUCGCUGACCUUUUCCCAGUGCCCUUCGGGCGCCCAACAAAUGGGUUACAUCUGUUACCCUGGCUGUGGUGGGCAGGUUGGGCAGUGCUGGUGCUCCUCAGCACAGUGCAGAGGCAGCAGCACCAGCACCAACACCAACACCAGCACCAAUACCAACACCAGCCCCAGCACCAACACCAACACCAACACCAACACCAGCACCAACACCAGCCCCAGCACCCAAGCACAGCACUGCAGCAGCCCAGCAGGUGUGCUCACGGAGCACCUUACUGCACCUGGCAGUGUUUGCAUGUUUCCCAGGUUGCCUUAAGUUCAGCAACCCAUCACAGAGCAUGCAGUUAGAUUGCUUUUUGCCUGCUCGCUUCUGGAGUUGAACUGCUUAAUUCUCCACCGUCGUUCUAGACGCACAAAGUGCGGUAUUAGAGAAGCCAGUCACGGCGGACAGCCAUUGCAAUGACGUGUGAAGGUGGUUGUGGGGUGUGAUGUACAGCUCUCCACCCAGCUCACAUCCACCCACGUGCACCCAAACGUUUGCCAUCCCAAAGCCCACUGCUGCCCUGCAGCACACCCGGCCCACACGUGCUCCACGUUCACAAAAGACGCAGACAGGACAGUCUUCCACAAUGAGAGCAACCUCAGUUAGUUCAGGUUUAUGACUAAAAGCCCCACAAGGACAGCCUCCUGACACGAGACGUGAGUAAGCUCCCGUGUGUCACUUCUCAUCGCCCGCCAUAUGCUUUGAUGGCUGGAAGCACGCAUGACCAGCAGAAAGCCUUGGAUGCCCUCUCCCUUUUGUAGGGCUUUUUUUCUUUUUUUCCCCAUGAAAAAGCUCUUUUUGAUUGAAGGGUUCUGAUCGCUUUAAGGGGGCUGACAGGUGUGAUGUGCAGCACAGCACCCUCAGCACCUCCCUGUGUGCUGCCUCGCUGCUGCAGAAGGCUUACACCGCCCAGUCCCAGCCACCCACAGGGGCUGCCACCGCAGAACGUUGUGUGGGACGCUGCACUGUACAGCCCCAAUCUCCAGACAGUGCUGCAGCCUCAGAGGGCACCCGGAGAAGCAGAGACAGUAACGGAACAGAAGGAGCCAAUGGGCACCAACUGCCGCCCUUCCCUGGGAAAAAGGGAAAGCAUUUCCCAGAGCU
Gallus gallus (chicken) is the source of this 2611-nucleotide long non-coding RNA. RefSeq lists it as uncharacterized. The transcript has 3 exons. The record is from RefSeq and is a predicted model, not a curated record. Lineage: Eukaryota; Metazoa; Chordata; Aves; Galliformes; Phasianidae.